RNAcentral lists this ribosomal RNA (1101 nucleotides) under Cenangiopsis sp. KL377. Its description in RNAcentral is "bacterial SSU rRNA". The stretch from base 1 to 886 matches the Rfam family "Eukaryotic small subunit ribosomal RNA", at positions 148 to 1127 of the family's 1831-position model. Lineage: Eukaryota; Fungi; Ascomycota; Leotiomycetes; Helotiales; Cenangiaceae. The record is from RNAcentral.
CCGUGGUAAUUCUAGAGCUAAUACAUGCUAAAAACCUCGACUUCGGAAGGGGUGUAUUUAUUAGAUAAAAAACCAAUGCCCUUCGGGGCUCCUUGGUGAUUCAUAAUAACUUAACGAAUCGCAUGGCCUUGUGCCGGCGAUGGUUCAUUCAAAUUUCUGCCCUAUCAACUUUCGAUGGUAGAGUAGUGGUCUACCAUGGUUUCAACGGGUAACGGGAAUUUAGGGAUUGAUUCCGGAGAGGGAGCCUGAGAAACGGCUACCACAUCCAAGGAAGGCAGCAGGCGCGCAAAUUACCCAAUCCCGACGCGGGGAGGUAGUGACAAUAAAUACUGAUACAGGGCUCUUUUGGGUCUUGUAAUUGGAAUGAGUACAAUUUAAAUCCCUUAACGAGGAACAAUUGGAGGGCAAGUCUGGUGCCAGCAGCCGCGGUAAUUCCAGCUCCAAUAGCGUAUAUUAAAGUUGUUGCAGUUAAAAAGCUCGUAGUUGAACCUUGGGCCUGGCUGGCCGGUCCGCCUCACCGCGUGCACUGGUCCGGCCGGGCCUUUCCUUCUGGGGAGCCGCAUGCCCUUCACUGGGUGUGUCGGGGAACCAGGACUUUUACUUUGAAAAAAUUAGAGUGUUCAAAGCAGGCCUAUGCUCGAAUACAUUAGCAUGGAAUAAUAGAAUAGGACGUGUGGUUCUAUUUUGUUGGUUUCUAGGACCGCCGUAAUGAUUAAUAGGGAUAGUCGGGGGCAUCAGUAUUCAAUUGUCAGAGGUGAAAUUCUUGGAUUUAUUGAAGACUAACUACUGCGAAAGCAUUUGCCAAGGAUGUUUUCAUUAAUCAGUGAACGAAAGUUAGGGGAUCGAAGACGAUUUUUAUCUGGUCGUYAAUAGCGAAACUAGUCUACUUGGGUAGGCGACACCGUCAAAUUGCGGGGACUUCCUAAAACCCCAGGGUACUAACCCCUACGCGAAAGCCUAGGGGGGCCACUGUUAAUCGCAAUGGAUAUAGUCAUAACCCCUGGGGAUGUACAAUGGUUAAUCCGCAGCCAACUCCUACGGGCCUUCGCGCCUAUGGAUGCAGUUCACAGACUAGACGUCGGUGGGAUCCGUCUGAUACGG